GCUGGGUGUGGUGGCACAUGCCUGUAAUCCCAGCAGCUCAGGAGGCUGAGGCAGGAGGAUUGAAAGUUCAAAGCCAGCCUUAGCAACUUAAGCAUAAGGCUCUAAAGAAACUUAACAAAACCCCGUCUCAA
RNAcentral lists this small RNA (131 nucleotides) under Marmota monax (woodchuck). Lineage: Eukaryota; Metazoa; Chordata; Mammalia; Rodentia; Sciuridae. The record is from RNAcentral.